This 1990-nucleotide ribosomal RNA is filed under the name Skeletonema menzelii. Its description in RNAcentral is "partial Bacterial large subunit ribosomal RNA". It matches the Rfam family "Bacterial large subunit ribosomal RNA", at positions 1 to 1985 of the family's 2925-position model. The record is from RNAcentral. Lineage: Eukaryota; Bacillariophyta; Thalassiosirophyceae; Thalassiosirales; Thalassiosiraceae.
GUUAAGUUAAUAAGGGCGCACGGUGGAUGCCUUGGCACUAGAAGCCGAUGAAGGACGUUACUAACGACGAUAUGCUUUGGGUAGCUGUAAGUAAGCGUUGAUCCAGAGAUUUCCGAAUGGGGGAACCCAGCAUGAGUUAUGUCAUGUUAUCGACAUGUGAAUUCAUAGCAUGUCAGAAGGCAGACCCGGAGAACUGAAACAUCUUAGUACCCGGAGGAAGAGAAAGAAAAAUCGAUUCCCUGAGUAGCGGCGAGCGAAACGGGAAGAGCCCAAACCAACAAGCUUGCUUGUUGGGGUUGUAGGACACUCUAUACGGAGUUACAAAAGAACAUGUUAGACGAAUCAUCUGGAAAGAUGAAUCAAAGAAGGUAAUAAUCCUGUAGUCGAAAACAUAUUCUCUCUUGAGUGGAUCCUGAGUACGACGGAGCACGUGAAAUUCCGUCGGAAUCUGGGAGGACCAUCUCCUAAGGCUAAAUACUCUCUAGUGACCGAUAGUGAACCAGUACCGUGAGGGAAAGGUGAAAAGUACCCCGGAAGGGGAGUGAAAGAGAACUUGAAACCGUGUGCUUACAAGUAGUCAGAGCCCGUUAAUGGGUGAUGGCGUGCCUUUUGUAGAAUGAACCGGCGAGUUACGAUCUGAUGCAAGGUUAAGCAGCAAAUGUGGAGCCGCAGCGAAAGCGAGUCUGAAUAGGGCGUUGAGUAUUUGGUCGUAGACCCGAAACCAGGUGAUCUACCCUUGGUCAGGUUGAAGUUCAGGUAACACUGAAUGGAGGACCGAACCGACUUACGUUGAAAAGUGAGCGGAUGAACUGAGGGUAGCGGAGAAAUUCCAAUCGAACUUGGAGAUAGCUGGUUCUCUCCGAAAUAGCUUUAGGGCUAGCCUCAAGUGAUGAUUAUUGGAGGUAGAGCACUGUUUGGACGAGGGGCCCCUCUCGGGUUACCGAAUUCAGACAAACUCCGAAUGCCAAUUAAUUUAACUUGGGAGUCAGAACAUGGGUGAUAAGGUCCGUGUUCGAAAGGGAAACAGCCCAGACCACCAGCUAAGGUCCCAAAAUAUAUGUUAAGUGGAAAAGGAUGUGGCGUUGCCCAGACAACUAGGAUGUUGGCUUAGAAGCAGCCAUCAUUUAAAGAGUGCGUAAUAGCUCACUAGUCGAGUGACACUGCGCCGAAAAUGUACCGGGGCUAAACAUAUUACCGAAGCUGUGGAUUGUCCUUUGGACAAUGGUAGGAGAGCGUUCUAAGGGCGUCGAAGCAUGAUCGCAAGGACAUGUGGAGCGCUUAGAAGUGAGAAUGCCGGUGUGAGUAGCGAAAGACGGGUGAGAAUCCCGUCCACCGAUUGACUAAGGUUUCCAGAGGAAGGCUCGUCCGCUCUGGGUUAGUCGGGUCCUAAGCUGAGGCCGACAGGCGUAGGCGAUGGAUAACAGGUUGAUAUUCCUGUACCACCUAGUAUCGUUUUAAUCGAUGGGGGGACGCAGUAGGAUAGGCGAAGCGUGCUGUUGGAGUGCACGUCCAAGCAGUAAGGCUGAGUGUUAGGCAAAUCCGGCACUCAUAAGGCUGAGCUGUGAUGGGGAGAGGAAAUUGUUUCCUCGAGUCGUUGAUUUCACACUGCCGAGAAAAGCCUCUAGAUAGAUAACAGGUGCCCGUACCGCAAACCGACACAGGUAGUCAAGAUGAGAAUUCUAAGGUGAGCGAGCGAACUCUCGUUAAGGAACUCGGCAAAAUGACCCCGUAACUUCGGGAGAAGGGGUGCUCUUUAGGGUUCACGCCCAGAAGAGCCGCAGUGAAUAGGCCCAAGCGACUGUUUAUCAAAAACACAGGUCUCUGCUAAACCGUAAGGUGAUGUAUAGGGGCUGACGCCUGCCCGGUGCUGGAAGGUUAAGAGGAUUGGUUAGCCCUUUUUUGGGCGAAGCUGAGAAUUUAAGCCCCAGUAAACGGCGGUGGUAACUAUAACCAUCCUAAGGUAGCGAAAUUCCUUGUCGGGUAAGUUCCG